Molecule: long non-coding RNA, 430 nt
Organism: Oncorhynchus tshawytscha (Chinook salmon)
Lineage: Eukaryota; Metazoa; Chordata; Actinopteri; Salmoniformes; Salmonidae
Source: Ensembl
GAGAGAGUAGAGAGUCAGAACAGAGGGAAAGAGAGAGAGGGAGGGAGAGAAGUCAGAACAGAGGGAAAGAGAGAGAGGGAGGGUAGAGAGUCAGAACAGAGGGAAAGAGAGAGAGAGAGGGUAGAGAGUCAGAACAGAGGGAAAGAGAGAGAGAGGAUGUGUGGAAGUUGCUUUAUAUUUGGUAAUUGGGGGCCUUUGAGCCAUGAUGGGCUGGGUGACAUCAUGACUCUCUGAGAGAUUACUGUUGCUGUGGAGGGAGAGCAAGAGAGAGAGAGAGGAGGGAGAGAUUAGUCAGCAGAAAUGAUUCAGGACGACAUUCAUCUUUAAAUGUACUUCUUCAUUUCUCUCUUUCCCCACUGAGGAAGAUAAAAGGACACACACACACAGAUAGAUAGACAGACAGACAGACAGACAGACAGACAGACAGACA